This 165-nucleotide ribosomal RNA is filed under the name uncultured bacterium. Its description in RNAcentral is "partial 16S ribosomal RNA". It matches the Rfam family "Bacterial small subunit ribosomal RNA", at positions 366 to 525 of the family's 1533-position model. The record is from RNAcentral.
GUGCCUGGGCGCAGCCUGAUGCAGCCCGCCGCGUGAGUGAUGAAGGCCUUCGGGUUGUAAAGCUCUUUCGGUGGGGACGAUAAUGACGGUACUCAUUUAUAAGGUGCCUGACGAAACCGUGCCAGCAACCGCCGUAAUAAAUACGUGCCAGCAGACGCGGUAAUA